Molecule: ribosomal RNA, 253 nt
Filed under: uncultured bacterium
Lineage: Bacteria
Description: partial 16S ribosomal RNA
Rfam family: Bacterial small subunit ribosomal RNA
Source: RNAcentral
UACGAAGGGGGCUAGCGUUGUUCGGAAUCACUGGGCGUAAAGCGCACGCAGGCGGAUUGAUAAGUCAGGGGUGAAAUCCUGGAGCUCAACUCCAGAACUGCCUUUGAUACUGAGAGGCUCGAGUCCGGGAGAGGUGAGUGGAACUGCGAGUGUAGAGGUGAAAUUCGUAGAUAUUCGCAAGAACACCAGUGGCGAAGGCGGCUCACUGGCCCGGUACUGACGCUGAGGUGCGAAAGCGUGGGGAGCAAACAGG